This 737-nucleotide long non-coding RNA is filed under the name Marmota monax (woodchuck). The record is from RNAcentral. Lineage: Eukaryota; Metazoa; Chordata; Mammalia; Rodentia; Sciuridae.
AUUGAAGUAGUGAUUGACACUGCAUUGCCAUGUUGUUUAAAAUAACCUGCCUGCGUGUUAUAAAUACGCUGUAUACCAGAACAUGAACUCCCCAAGAACAGACUCCUGCCUUCUUCCCUGUUCUAUUCCCGGAGCAAGAACAGGGCUCCAUUCAGAAUAGUCUCUCAGUAAAUAGUUGUUAAAGACAUGCUCUUUUAAACAUUUUUGUUAAAUUUUGUACUCCUAAGAGGAGCUGCCUAAAUGAGCAGUAUGUAUCAUACAUUCAUUCCUCAAAGAAUCCCAAAUAUCAUUUUACACACACUAGGAAAGUAUAAAACCCAUUGGCCUAUUGGACAGGGCCAGUCCUAGAGGAUGACUGGCCAGGCAUUUAGAUGGCUUGUUGGUUUCCUGCUCUUUUCAAAGGAGAACUUUACUAGACAGACCAGUGACCAGCUAACCUGGGCACAGAGAACCUGUGCACUUCUGCCAGGCACAGAGCUUUGGCCCUUCCUCCUUCUAUUUUCCAUUAGAAAAUUUUUGUGGGGCAAGCAAGAACUGGAACAUGGGGAAGAGAGUCUUUGGUCUGAUCAAAAAGCUGGGGCUAUAGCUCAGUGGUAGAGCACCCCAGGGUUCAAACUCCAGUACUGAAAAAAAAAAUUUAUUUUUAAUUUCAAUGAUAAAAUAUAAUUUAGAAAACUUGAUAGGAAAGCCUAUUGUAUUUGCCCAUAUUGUCCUUAUUAUUUCUUUCCUGUUUUCUG